This 518-nucleotide ribosomal RNA is filed under the name uncultured bacterium. Its description in RNAcentral is "bacterial SSU rRNA". It matches the Rfam family "Bacterial small subunit ribosomal RNA", at positions 8 to 526 of the family's 1533-position model. The record is from RNAcentral.
AGAGUUUGAUCAUGGCUCAGGAUGAACGCUGGCGGCGUGCCUAACACAUGCAAGUCGAGCGAAGCGAUUGAGAGGAAGUUUUCGGAUGGAAUCUUGAUUGACUGAGCGGCGGACGGGUGAGUAACGCGUGGGUAACCUGCCUCAUACAGGGGGAUAACAGUUAGAAAUGACUGCUAAUACCGCAUAAGCGCACAGUGCCACAUGGCACAGUGUGAAAAACUCCGGUGGUAUGAGAUGGACCCGCGUCUGAUUAGCUAGUUGGUAGGGUAACGGCCUACCAAGGCGACGAUCAGUAGCCGACCUGAGAGGGUGACCGGCCACAUUGGGACUGAGACACGGCCCAAACUCCUACGGGAGGCAGCAGUGGGGAAUAUUGCACAAUGGGCGAAAGCCUGAUGCAGCGACGCCGCGUGAGUGAAGAAGUAUUUCGGUAUGUAAAGCUCUAUCAGCAGGGAAGAAAAUGACGGUACCUGACUAAGAAGCCCCGGCUAACUACGUGCCAGCCGCCGCGGUAAUAC